Molecule: non-coding RNA, 281 nt
Organism: Neolamprologus brichardi
Lineage: Eukaryota; Metazoa; Chordata; Actinopteri; Cichliformes; Cichlidae
Source: RefSeq, a predicted model, not a curated record
GAAUAAAAAGCUACCAACGGGAAGAAGAAGAGACAACAGGACUGAUCAUCAGGUGACAGAACUGAUGUGAUAGAAAGUGGACAGAUCGCCGAUCGCUCUCUUACAAACAAGAAGGAGAUUUAAACCGACAGUGAGCACGUGACCUUGAUGUCCCUUUGAGGCCUUCUGAAUUUACUUCAUUUAAUUUUCUGGUUAGUGAGUGUAAUGCACCCAGUAAAGUCAACAGGAAAACUUUACAUGCUCUUCCACAUUGGUAGAGACAGCUGCCAGAGACGGAGAAA